UGAUGGUAUGAUUGCUCGUAGUGAGGCUACUGGAGUUUGAUUGACACAUAAACAUGACCUCAUUGAGAUCUUGUAGUGGAUGUUGAUGACAGUUGAUUUACUAUAGGAGUAGGGUGCACAACUAGAUGAAAUCUAUCAAUCUUGAUAGAGAGUAGUCUUAUAAGAUUUGAGAGGCUAAGUCUGAGAGUCUAUGGUCAUAGUAGUGUGAUUG
Molecule: long non-coding RNA, 211 nt
Filed under: Elaeis guineensis (African oil palm)
Lineage: Eukaryota; Viridiplantae; Streptophyta; Magnoliopsida; Arecales; Arecaceae
Description: long non-coding RNA (EGUI_LNC017437)
Source: RNAcentral